UAAAAUGAUAAUCUCCUGGCAAAAUAUUGACACAACUGUCCAUGAGCUUCAGUACAAAUAUUCAGAGAUACAAGGCCAUCUAAAAUCCAUCCAACACAUGAGCUUCAGUGCAAAUAUUCAGAGAUACAAGGCCAUCUAAAAUUCAUCAAACACAUGAGCUUCAGUACAAAUAUUCAAAGAUAAAAUGAUAAUCUCCUAGCAAAAUGUCAGGCACAAGUACCAAUGAGCUUCAGAACACAUAUUCAGAGAUACAAGGCCAUCUAAGUUGUUAUUCAGGACUGCAUCAUAAUCCUAGCAAAUGAUAAUCUCCUAGUAAAAUACAUGUGUCAGCCGAUUUUCAUCACCAAAAACAUGCUCAAGAAGAACCCUGGCUAGAUUUUCUUCCUCUUCCAAAGGUUGUCAAUUAACAUUCGAGCAUCUGAAUCAUGGUCGGGGCCGGCGAAGGG
Molecule: long non-coding RNA, 446 nt
Filed under: Triticum aestivum (bread wheat)
Lineage: Eukaryota; Viridiplantae; Streptophyta; Magnoliopsida; Poales; Poaceae
Description: long non-coding RNA (TAES_LNC024775)
Source: RNAcentral